AAAGCGGUGGCGGUGGCGGCACGAACUUUUCCGGCUCUGCCCCGCGCCCCCUGAGAGGCCAGAAGUGACAACUUGAACGCGGGACUUUGAGGGGUCCGGAGCGGAGAGCAGUGUGCACCCUGAGACACGGUCUCUGCCCCCCCCCCCGCCCUCCGGGUGGCCGCUUGGCACCGCGCCCGGGCGUUCCGCACCAGAACCGACACAGCCCGAACCCUUCACCGAGGGCACCGUGAACUGCAGUGGCUACUUUCACUGUUGUGCUUCCUCCAGGUCCAUGAAGCCCUCGAGUGUGACCCCUAACCCCAGAGCGAAGUGUAGUGGGGAGGUGGUCUCCGAACCCAAGCUUCCACGUGCCCGAAACGAGGGUGGUAGUGUCAGGAAUUGAAAGCUGCUGACAUCCUGUAAGAAAGAAAAGUUGUUAAGCUUGAUUCUGUGGAAGGAAAUUUAAAAUAACAAAAAGAUGAAAAGAAACAGGAAUCUGAAGGACCAUAGAAUAAAUUCCUUUCUAUAUCAUCAAGGAAGAUCCUACUGCCAUUCUCAAGUGACCAGUACCAGUUUACAGUGUUCUACUGUAGCAUAAAAUCAUUAAAGAGCUGUAUGUUUGUUGGUUUUAUUCUCAAUAUGAUCAGUUAGAAUAGAAUGACCUGAGCAGUUUACUGUAAUUGGUAUUCUGAUCAUGCCACCUCAAAUUUCAAAACCUCAAGUAUCUCAAGAAAGAAUUCUGAUUGUCUAACCUUAGACUCUGUCAGUUCCUUUAAUGAUGAUGGCUAACUUAGCUGAAGGCUAAUUGACAUUAAUUUAGCUCACUUGUUUUCUUCCUAGAUUCCCAUGAGACUUUUCAGUCUUUUGAUUUAUUGACUUACUAAAUAAUUUUAAGACACAUGUGUGCUUAAAUCUAGUUUGUUAGCUAAGAUAAGGAAAAUCUAUAAUACAG
Molecule: long non-coding RNA, 934 nt
Filed under: Heterocephalus glaber (naked mole-rat)
Lineage: Eukaryota; Metazoa; Chordata; Mammalia; Rodentia; Bathyergidae
Description: lncRNA (ENSHGLG00000031078.2)
Source: RNAcentral